This 26-nucleotide non-coding RNA is filed under the name Homo sapiens (human). Lineage: Eukaryota; Metazoa; Chordata; Mammalia; Primates; Hominidae. The record is from RNAcentral.
UGGGACUGUGCGCUGGACUUGGAGCC